This 1462-nucleotide long non-coding RNA is filed under the name Homo sapiens (human). RNAcentral describes it as "HSALNT0085766". The record is from RNAcentral. Lineage: Eukaryota; Metazoa; Chordata; Mammalia; Primates; Hominidae.
CCGCGGUUCCCGCCGGCGCCUCUCCCUCCACACCUCCCUGCAAGCUGAGGGAGUGGGCUCCGGCCUUGGCCAGCCCAGAAAGGGGCCCCCACAGUGCAGCGGUGGGCUGAAGGGCUCCCCAGGUGCAUCCAAAGUGGGAGCCCAGGCAGAGGAGGCGCCGAGAGCGAGAGAGGGCUGUGAGGACUGCCAGCACGCUGUCACCUCUCAGAACCAGGGGAGAAACCUGAGAAGUGUCUUUCAGCACACUACCUGGAUCCUAAUGGCUACUUCUGCAGAGAGAACACCAGAGGGGAAAGGAAUCUAUCAGAAGGCAAGGAAUCUUAGGAGAAGAAGAAAGAAAAGGGGUUUGUCUUGCUAUAUCUGGAGUGGCAGAGUGAAAGAAAAUAUGUAUGUAAGUGGACCCACGCAGCUCUAACCUAUGUUGUCCAAGAGUCACCUGCACAUGGUAGAAAACUUAUCAAGAGGAGGUGGAGCAAGAUGGCAAAAUAGAAGCCUCCACUGAUCAUCCCCUCACAAAGACACCAAUUUAACAACUAUCUACACAUAAAAGCACUUUCAUAAGAACCAAAAAUUACGUGAGCAUUCACAGUACCUGGUUUUAACUUCAUGUCACUGAAAGAGACACUGAGGAGGUAGAAAAAAGUCUUGAAUUGCUACCACCCCUCUAUCCCCCCGCAGUGGCAGCUUGGUGCAGAGAGAGAAUCUGAGCUACUUGGGAGAGGAAGAGCACAGCAAUUGUGAGACAGUGCAUUGAACUCAGUCCUGCUCUGUUAUAGAAGAAAGCAAAGCCGGAAAAACUCAGCCAAUGCCAGCAGACAGAGGGAGCAUUUAGCCCAGUACUAAACAGAGAAGACUCACUCAUCCCAGCAGUUGGAACCUAGGUUCCUGCAUGCUUCGCUACCACAGGCUAAAGUGCUCUGGGGAUCUCAAUAAGUUCGAAAUGCAGUCUAGGCCACAAGGACUGCAACUCCAAGGUUGCAGGAGUGCUGAACAGGGCUCAGAGCCUGGGGACUUCGGGGACUUGCAGCCUACUGAGACACCAGGUGGGGUAGCUAAGGGAGUGCUGGUGCCACACCUCCCCUAACUCCACGUUCCACAGCUCAUGACUCCAAAAAGGACCCCUUCCUUCUGCUUGAGAAGAAGAGAGGAAAUAGAGGGAAAACCUUUGACUUGUAUCACAAAUACUAGCUCAGUCACAUCAGGAAAGGGCACCGGUCAGUCAUGAAAGCCUCUGUCUUCUCAGUGAGAAGAGGAGUGAGUUUGAAUAGAAUGGGAAGCAAUUUUGCCUUAAGCAGUACCCAGCUUGACUUUCCCCUUUAGCUUAGUGAUUUUGGGGCUCCAAGAUUUAUUUUCCUUUCACAGUGUGUAUGAUCAGAGCAUGAACAGAUUAUUCACAAAAAACAAAUCAAAUAUACAUGUAAAAGAUGUUUCUUCAUGAUUAAUCAUAAAAAAAUAAUUUAAC